CUUGAGUCAAUCACUCAGCUCUCAUGAUCAGGAACGCGGUGAAAAUGCCAAAAAGUAAACUUUUGAGGCAGCGAUGAACGGACCUAAAUAUGAAAAGACACAACAUUUACAAUCCAUCCAAGCACUGGAACAGCCAACACUCCCAGUCCUACGUCCCUGACAGUCUCAGCAUGUUGUCGUCUGUCUUCCUGAUUUUAAAGUGUCUGUCUUGCUGAACGCAGAUUUUCCUUGAGCAUGCUCCAAAGCUCCUUCAGAUUCUUCUCUCCAAACUUUCAUCCUGAAGAGGCUUCCUGCUCUGACCGCUGCAGGCUCUGCUCUGUCCUCUUAAUCUGCUGCCUAAUGGCAUUGUAGUUGGAGCAUUUCCCACUGAUGGGAUCUACAUCUGCAUCAAUGAGGGUCUUGUAGACAAUGUUGAGGGAGCAGAUACCAUCUUUCAGUGGCACCAUAAAAGCCUCAGCUGUGUUUUUACCACAACACUGGAAAACAUAAACAAGAGACAAACAGAAAAAAAUGUCAACAGAAAAAUAGCAUGUGUUUGGUCAAGACAUUGGUACUUUAUAAGUAACUAAAAGGGGUCAUAAUGAAACCAGAUGAACUGUCUUUCAAAACAAGCCAGAGUCCUUGCUUUUUCUUUUCAAGGAAAGCUUGAAUGUAUGCAUUACUUUCUUGGCAAAAACGUUCACUUGCAGGUCACAGUGCAAAGCAGGCACCCCUCCUAAUUGUCCAAUUUGUCUUUACUGUUUAUUAUUUACUGUUUUUUUUUUUUAGAUUUUAAGAUUUCUUACAUUAAUGACAUGCUACAAGUUGGCAAAAGGGAUUCUGGUUGGUUUAUCUUGUUCACAGCAA
Molecule: long non-coding RNA, 846 nt
Organism: Trichomycterus rosablanca
Lineage: Eukaryota; Metazoa; Chordata; Actinopteri; Siluriformes; Trichomycteridae
Exons: 3
Source: RefSeq, a predicted model, not a curated record